Molecule: ribosomal RNA, 824 nt
Filed under: Evernia prunastri
Lineage: Eukaryota; Fungi; Ascomycota; Lecanoromycetes; Lecanorales; Parmeliaceae
Description: SSU rRNA
Rfam family: Eukaryotic small subunit ribosomal RNA
Source: RNAcentral
AAAACGGUGAACCUCCGAAUGGCUCAUUAAAUCAGUUAUCGUUAAUUUGAUAGUACCUUCCUACUUGGAUACCUGUGGUAAUUCUAGAGCUAAUACAUGCUAAAAACCCUCAACUUCGGAAGGGGUGUAUUUAUUAGAUAAAAAGCCAAUGCCCUUCGGGGCUCCUUGGUGAUUCAUAAUAACUUAACGAAUCGCAUGGCCUUGCGCCGGCGAUGGUUCAUUCAAAUUUCUGCCCUAUCAACUUUCGAUGGUAGGAUAGUGGCCUACCAUGGUUUCUACGGGUAACGGGAGAUUAGGGUUUGACUCCGGAGAGGGAGCCUGAGAAACGGCUACCACAUCCAAGGAAGGCAGCAGGCGCGCAAAUUACCCAAUCCCGACACGGGGAGGUAGUGACAAUAAAUACUGAUACAGGGCUCUUUUGGGUCUUGUAAUUGGAAUGAGUACAAUUUAAAUCCCUUAACGAGGAACAAUUGGAGGGCAAGUCUGGUGCCAGCAGCCGCGGUAAUUCCAGCUCCAAUAGCGUUUAUUAAAGUUGUUGCAGUUAAAAAGCUCGUAGUUGAAACUUGGCCUUGGUUGACCGGUCCGCCUCACCGCGUGCACUGGUUCGGCCGGGGCUUUCCUUCUGGGGAUCCGCAUGGCCUUCAUUGGUCGUGCUGGGGAACCAGGACUUUUACUUUGAAAAAAUUAGAGUGUUCAAAGCAGGCCUAUGCUCGAAUACAUUAGCAUGGAAUAAUAGAAUAGGACGUGUGGUUCUAUUUUGUUGGUUUCUAGGACCGCCGUAAUGAUUAAUAGGGAUAGUCGGGGGCAUCAGCAANNNAUUNNCA